UAUUUUUUUUGUAGAAUACGAAUGGCAUAUUACCGAGGAAAAUCUAAUGAAAACGGGGUUGUUCGUUGCAAAUGCAAUGAAAUAGCUAUGUUAAGAGUUUCACGUCAACCACGUUCUGAAGGGAUGCAAUUUUAUAGCUGUCUGAAAUAUCGAAACGAAAAGAAAAAUUAUUGUAACUUUUUUUAAUGGGUAGAUAAGAAUGAAGCAAAAGAUAGAGAACUAUUGU
This 226-nucleotide long non-coding RNA is filed under the name Ananas comosus (pineapple). RNAcentral describes it as "long non-coding RNA (ACOM_LNC019996)". The record is from RNAcentral. Lineage: Eukaryota; Viridiplantae; Streptophyta; Magnoliopsida; Poales; Bromeliaceae.